This 255-nucleotide ribosomal RNA is filed under the name uncultured bacterium. RNAcentral describes it as "partial 16S ribosomal RNA". It matches the Rfam family "Bacterial small subunit ribosomal RNA", at positions 524 to 777 of the family's 1533-position model. The record is from RNAcentral.
UACGGAGGGGGCUAGCGUUGUUCGGAAUUACUGGGCGUAAAGCGCGCGUAGGCGGACCUGCAAGUCGGGGGUGAAAGCCCGAGGCUCAACCUCGGAACUGCCUUCGAUACUGCGGGUCUCGAGUCCGGGAGAGGUGAGUGGAAUUCCUAGUGUAGAGGUGAAAUUCGUAGAUAUUCGCAAGAACACCAGUGGCGAAGGCGGCUCACUGGCCCGAUACUGACGCUGAGGUGCGAAAGCGUGGGGAUCCAAACAGGG